RNAcentral lists this long non-coding RNA (277 nucleotides) under Nicotiana benthamiana. RNAcentral describes it as "long non-coding RNA (NBEN_LNC030451)". The record is from RNAcentral. Lineage: Eukaryota; Viridiplantae; Streptophyta; Magnoliopsida; Solanales; Solanaceae.
UGCUUGAUCCAUAAGACUUAUCUUCUUCACGUGCAUCUCAUAUGCAUGGGUUGAUAACCACUGUGUCUCAUAAGAUGGACCUGUUCUUUCACUGAGUUCAUUUGUCAUUAUUCAAAACUUCAACUGAAGUUGGGCCAACAAUUCCUAACAAGAAACUACAAAAGAGAAACCUAUCAGAUUCGAUACCAACUCUAAUGACCAUGACAUGCACCUGCGGCCUAUUCUGUUAAAUAAGUCUAAUGUUCGACUCUUGUUAUCCCCCCAAAAUCGUGAAACU